UGGGGAAUAUUGCACAAUGGGCGAAAGCCUGAUGCAGCAACGCCGCGUGAGGGACGACGGCCUUCGGGUUGUAAACCUCUUUUAGCAAGGAAGAAGCGAAAGUGACGGUACUUGCAGAAAAAGCGCCGGCUAACUACGUGCCAGCAGCCGCGGUAAUACGUAGGGCGCAAGCGUUAUCCGGAAUUAUUGGGCGUAAAGAGCUCGUAGGCGGUUUGUCGCGUCUGCUGUGAAAACCCGAGGCUCAACCUCGGGCCUGCAGUGGGUACGGGCAGACUAGAGUGCGGUAGGGGGAGAUUGGAACUCCUGGUGUAGCGGUGGAAUGCGCAGAUAUCAGGAAGAACACCGAUGGCGAAGGCAGAUCUCUGGGCCGUAACUGACGCUGAGGAGCGAAACGGGUGGGGAGCAAACAGGCUUAGAUACCCUGGUAGUCACCCCGUAAACGUUGGGAACUAGUUGUGGGGUCCAUUCCACGGAUUCCGUGACGCAGCUAACGCAUUAAGUUCCCCGCCUGGGGGAGUACGGCCGCAAGGCUAAAACUGCAAAU
RNAcentral lists this ribosomal RNA (544 nucleotides) under uncultured bacterium. RNAcentral's name for it is "partial 16S ribosomal RNA". It matches the Rfam family "Bacterial small subunit ribosomal RNA", at positions 355 to 906 of the family's 1533-position model. The record is from RNAcentral.